CCUACGGGUGGCAGCAGUGGGGAAUAUUGCGCAAUGGGCGAAAGCCUGACGCAGCGACGCCGCGUGAGGGAUGAAGGUCUUCGGAUCGUAAACCUCUGUCAGCAGGGAAGAACGGUCACUUUGCUAAUCAGCAGUGAAUUGACGGUACCUGCAAAGGAAGCACCGGCUAACUCCGUGCCAGCAGCCGCGGUAAUACGGAGGGUGCGAGCGUUAAGCGGAAUUACUGGGCGUAAAGCGCUCGUAGGCGGUAUGUCAAGUCAAGGGUGAAAUCCCCGGGCUCAACGUGGGAACUGCCGUUGAAACUGGCAAACUGGAGGGUAUGAGAGGAUAGUGGAAUUCCAGGUGUAGGAGUGAAAUCCGUAGAUAUCUGGAGGAACAUCAGUGGCGAAGGCGACUAUCUGGAACAUAACUGACGCUGAGGAGCGAAAGCGUGGGUAGCAAACAGGAUUAGAUACCCUGGUAGUC
This 465-nucleotide ribosomal RNA is filed under the name uncultured bacterium. Its description in RNAcentral is "partial 16S ribosomal RNA". It matches the Rfam family "Bacterial small subunit ribosomal RNA", at positions 338 to 795 of the family's 1533-position model. The record is from RNAcentral.